Molecule: transfer RNA, 56 nt
Filed under: Thylacinus cynocephalus (Tasmanian wolf)
Lineage: Eukaryota; Metazoa; Chordata; Mammalia; Dasyuromorphia; Thylacinidae
Description: partial tRNA-Glu
Source: RNAcentral
GUUUUUGUAGUUGAAUUACAACAAUGGUUUUUCGUAUCAUAGGUUAUGGUUAGAGU